Molecule: RNA transcript, 1101 nt
Organism: Puntigrus tetrazona (Sumatra barb)
Lineage: Eukaryota; Metazoa; Chordata; Actinopteri; Cypriniformes; Cyprinidae
Exons: 4
Source: RefSeq, a predicted model, not a curated record
CUAAAAGUGACUAAAGUGAAGAAUUAGAAGAACAGAGGAAACACAGCCUAAAAACAAGAUAAGACAAACAAGAUUGUGAAGUCUAAAAGUGACUAAAGUGAAGAAUUAGAAGAACAGAGGAAACACAGCCUAAAAACAAGAUAAGACAAACAAGAAUCAUACAAAGAUCUUGCGAACUGGACUACAGCAAAAAACAUCAUCAAAUUUCCCUCGGAAGAUGAUGGCUAGUAGUUUGUUAAAGGAAUGUCUUGCAUAUCUGAAAAAGAGUAAUGUUUUCAUCCAAUUUCCGUUGAAUGCUUUACUGUAUGGGUUGGAGGAGUUGGCUGAAAUCAGGUUUUCAUGUCCGUGCAAUGUUAAGAUGAAUUAUCGUUUUAUACUGGCAAUGUUCAUUGGACCUCCUUUUUUUAUUUUAGCUUUAAUGUUCUUAUUUUUUAGGCCUUUUAAACUUGGGUAUUUUCAUUGUCCUAAGAAAGCAAAUGCUGAAACUGAGGAAAAAACUCAGCAGAGCUGGCCUAAAUCUUUUGUAAAUUGUCUGAUUCCACCUGUAAUGUGGAUCAUCAUCUUGUUUCUUGAUGGAGAUUACUUGGUUUGUGGUUAUACAGACUGGAAUGGACAUUAUGUUUUUGAUGCAGAGCUCAACAGGUCUUGGUGUAAACCUACUAAGGGGAUGCAAAAUGAGACAGAGCUACGAGAUUUGAUUACCCACCAUCGUCACUAUUCUCUGUAUAUAGGUCACAUCUUGACUGGUGUCCUCGGUGCUUUGCUGGUUUUCACAGUGGGUGGUUUUGACUGCUGUAUAACUAGAAAAUGUGACAGGUGCCCAAAUGGCAUAUUAAUAAUGUGUGGCCAAACAGAUCCAGAGCAGGAGAGUCAGAUGCAGAGUAGUAACGAAACAGAGAAUCUAAGCGCCGUGGGUAGGUCUACGAACCAGAUCUCAAUGGGGGUCCCAGGCUCUGACAGAGCCCACAGGGACAAAAUCCCUGGCGACGUCCCUGAUCCUGAGACGGGAAACAGACAAGAUGUAGGACUGACUGAACCAACAGGUGAAACACAGACCGAACCAAGAGAGACUGAGACGUUUCUAUAGAAAAUUAUUUUUAU